AGGAAAUUGGUCUGUUUACUUUAAGAUCGCAAGAAAAUGUAACGUAUUUUGGAUGUGCUUUGAGGAAUCAGGAAGGCAAGUGUUUCCUCUUGUUUAUGAAAGCAACUCAGUUGGUUAAGGGGCAGACAACUUGUGAGCAUGGUACAUCACUACCUGUAUUGGUAUUCCAUUUUGAUAAUGCUGCUAGCUAGAAUAGAAAUAACAUCUUGCUGUGGUAUGGUCUGUGGAGAGUUUUACUAGGAUAUCACAGAUCGAUUGAAUAUUCAGCAAUGAUCACAGACCAUGCAAAGUUUGAAUCUGACUUGCACUUUUGAAUUUAGAAGAAUCUGUGGAGGAGGGUGAAUGCUGAGACCUUUAAUAAUACAUGAUAUUGCUGACACAGUGUGUCAGUCAUCAAAGAAAUGUCAUAACAACACAGUUGGUCAACAAAGAUUUAAAUCCUGUCACAUUCUACCAGUGGAGAAAUAUCUUAUCACAAUAAUUUAAAUUUUUGAAGAAGAUAACCAAGUAUUACCACUUUAUCAUGUCUGCAGAAACACCUGGAUUGUUAGUCUUAAAAGUGACAGUCCGGUUAACUUACUAAAAUCUACUCCCCCUUGCCAAACGAAUAUUAUUGACAUGGAAUGACAGAAGCCUGACAAUGGUACCUGUAUGAACUCAGAAGAGAAUAGUAUUUGUCUGAAAAGUCAAAGGAUUCUGUUUGUCCCAAACCACUUGAACUGAAAUUGGAUUGACGAGCAUUUUUCUGAGAACUGAAAAAAGGAAGUGAAUAUAAAAGAUAGAAAUUGUUGUUGAAUUCAAACGUUUUAAUAUACAACACUUUAGCCUGUUUUGCUAUUCAUAUAGAUGUGUUUUGCUGUUAAGGUUAAACAUCAAGUAAAGGUUGUAGUUUCAGUUACCUACAUUAAAGUAUUGGCUGGAAAUAAAUAUUUACUUUUCACCAGGGUUUGUAGCAGUGUAACCUUCAUCAAAAGUUAAGCUGUUUUGUUAAUUAUUAAAGUAUUUUUAGAAAAAGGAAUUUAGUAUGUAUGUUGCCAUGGUAACAUAAUUCAA
Molecule: long non-coding RNA, 1053 nt
Organism: Mercenaria mercenaria
Lineage: Eukaryota; Metazoa; Mollusca; Bivalvia; Venerida; Veneridae
Exons: 3
Source: RefSeq, a predicted model, not a curated record